AGAAAACAGAAGAAAUUGAUCCAAAUCAAAUACAAACCAGACUUAGCCUUAGCACAGCAGUCAUCCAUUUUACAAGGACAGCAAAGUUCCUGACAUUGCCAGAAAAACCUUCAUCAAACCCUUUGCUUCAGGGUUUAAAGAUCUUUCACUCAAAUGACAGAUCAUCUCUUACCUGUAACAUGAAAAGCUUGUUUUGCUCUAAAAAUAUUUCUUUCUUUUAGCUGUAGGAAUCACCUUUGCAGGUUGGUAGUGUCCGUUUGUGCUUCUCCACACAGUUUAUAGUUUCUCAGACUCUCCCUAGAGGUUCAGUGGCUCAAACAUUAACAGCAUGGAGAAUUAUUGAUCCUUAAUGACUAGGUGUGGUAUGAAAUAGCAGCCAUGUAAGGAAGCAGUGUGGUUCUGAGAUAAUUUAUGGCUCCUUAUUUCCUUUGGGAUUUUCUGUCUGAAUUUAGUUUUUCAGCGUGGCUGCAAGAAAUGAACAAGCAAUGCACAGAUUGGAGCCCCCGGGAGCAAGUUGUCCUUUCUGUAGGAGAGAUGGUGGAGAGGAGAAGGCAUGGGCUUCUGGUGGAGAUCAGAUCUGUGCAUGGGGAGCACUCAGCCUAUUUAUAGGAAUAAUUCAUCAGACGUGGACUCUUGUCUGCAGACAUGGAGAAAGUUUAAGUUUUCUGUGAGCUCUGCAACCAAUUUAAAUCGGGUUUUCAGUCCUUCAAGGGAGCCAAUCCCCGCUUGUCCCUGUGCCAUAGCACCUAUAGCAAUGGGAAUGGAAAUCAACUGGACUAUAAAGGACUAUGGUAAAAUAAAUAAUAAAUAAAAUACCAUGGAAAUUAUAAGUGGAAAAAAGAGAAGUUUUUAAAAGUCUUAAUUCUUGAGAUGUUUUGUUUUCUGCUGCCUCACUUUUUAAUAUCAUACUUAUUUCAGGUGUUUUGAACAGCCUUAUUUUCUUCUCCCAUAAUGUUAGUUUUCAUCCAGGUUCCAACUUCUGGCUUCAAUUUCCUGUGUGUGCUGUAUAACUCUUGAUCAUUGUUUAGUUUUUUGUGCAGAGCAUUAAGCAUUUUCUGGACUAUGCAUUCAAAGAAACAAAUGUUUUGAACUGAUUACAGCUGGAAAGUACACAAUUCUGGAAAAGGUGAGUUUUCUGUAGUUCAGAUCACACUUUUCUCUUGAAAUCAAUAUUUGUUUCUACAGGGAAAAAAAUCUGGACUGUGCUUUCAGCAUGCUUUCAGACACGACUGUUCUCCAUUUACUCACAGACUCAGCAUGAUUUGGGCAUUCGCAAAAGCUGCUGCUAGCAGAGAGUUAUCUUUAGAGCACAGCUCAAAAACAAGAGUUUCCAUUAAAGCAUUAGGACUUAUUGUUAUGAUUUCAAAAUAAAUAUAAUGGGGGGAGGGAACUGAACUUUCUU
This 1402-nucleotide long non-coding RNA is filed under the name Dromaius novaehollandiae (emu). RNAcentral describes it as "lncRNA (ENSDNVG00000005598.1)". Lineage: Eukaryota; Metazoa; Chordata; Aves; Casuariiformes; Dromaiidae. The record is from RNAcentral.